This 232-nucleotide unclassified non-coding RNA is filed under the name plant metagenome. RNAcentral describes it as "partial contains small subunit ribosomal RNA, internal transcribed spacer 1, and 5.8S ribosomal RNA". The record is from RNAcentral.
UUUCCGUAGGUGAACCUGCGGAAGGAUCAUUAUAGAGGUCCUGCCCUAACGGGUAUACUUCCAACACUGUGUAUUUCUAUUUUGUUGCUUCGGCAGGCCGCCUAGGCUUCGGCUUGGCCAUGGUCUUCGGCUCGUGAGCGGCUGUCAGAAGACUCUCUAAUUCUUGAUAUAAUUGUAGUUUAAGUAAAAACUUAAUAAGUUAAAACUUUCAACAACGGAUCUCUUGGUUCUG